Hydractinia symbiolongicarpus is the source of this 1297-nucleotide long non-coding RNA. RefSeq lists it as uncharacterized. The transcript is spliced from 2 exons. Lineage: Eukaryota; Metazoa; Cnidaria; Hydrozoa; Anthoathecata; Hydractiniidae. The record is from RefSeq and is a predicted model, not a curated record.
UUUACUAAAGAAACAGCUGCGGUAACAUGUCACUUUUUCUAAACUUUAUUUUUAUUCUGUCUUUUGUGUGCUUUUUCAAAUUGAUUUAAAAUUUUUGUUUUAAGAAAGUCAUGGUUAAUUUAUUUUAUUGUUCUCAUAAAAACUUUUGUGUAAUGAUGUAAAACUUUAUUACACAAAAGUCACAGGUAAUUAAUUUUUAUUAUUCCCUUAAUAUUGGUUUUAUCUAUUCCCGCUUGAAUGGAAUUAACAACAAAAUGUUUUGACGAAAAGAGCAAUGCUAGGCUAAAACAAAUCAUGUGAUAAAAUAAAGUGAUUUCAUUAGUAAGGAAUUUUAUUGCAUGCGAAAUUAAAUUUACCUUAACGGGAGCUUUGUUAUAAAUUGUUAUACGAGUAAAGUCACAGCCGUCUUAAUAAAACUAUCAACAAACUUUUUUGUGAUAAGAAGCACAACAAAUUUAAGUGGAUUAUUCCACGGGUUUAAAUAACUAGUAUGUUGUAUAUAUUGGGAUAAUAUCGGAAAAUGAACUUUUAACUGUGGGUAUACCCCAAGGUACUAUUCUGGGACCACUUUUAUUUUUGCUGUACUUCAAUGAUCUUGCAGACAACUUAAAACAGAUUGUCAAAUAAGCGAAUGAUACAGUUUUAUCAUGGAGGAAAGUCACUCGACGUUAUUAAAACUAAACUCAAUCAUCGAAAUGGUGCUGUGACAACGAGCUUAUUCGUAAUAUGAAAUAAACAAAAAACUCAAGAAAUUAGAAAUUUGCACAUUAUCGUCCUCGUUCAUUCAUUUAUACCAAGAGAAAUAUAAAAAGUAACUAUGUUUUUAACAGCUGUAAAUCAAAAUUGUAUGUUCAUUUUUUGUUUUUGUUUUGUUUGAGUGAACAUUUUGACCAUUCUUUCUUUUAAUCGAGAUCCUCCCAUCCUCGUCCCCAGGGUUUAAUGCUAGCGGCUAAGCAAGAUUAUUUAUUAAGUAUUUUCCCCGCCUGCCGCCUCGAUGUUUAAAAGGCAAAAAAACCGUCUCUUCUCCUUUUCUUACUAAUUAUUGAUGUUUUUUGUUAAACUUAAGUUUUAGUUCGUAUAUGGUAGAUGCGUAUUAUUUAUUUGUAAAAAAAAUUAUUGCGACUCCGAUUGAUAGCAGUAAUAGUGCAUAUAUGUGUUUUAUUUAUGUGAAUAGGUUAUCCUGUAAAUAAUAUUGAAAUAAUAACAAUGAAGGCGAUAAGAUUUUCCAUUUUUGAAGUGCAUUUAAAUUUGUCUUUUAUUUUUGUCUUUUGGCCGAAUUAUACAUGUUGUAAAUCGC